UUACUACUUUUGAUUCGUCUCUUUAUAGGUACCGUCAUAACUGUUCUGUGUUAAUGACUUCUGUUUUGGAGAAGAAAUACUGUAAUCCCUCCGUGCUGCUUCCUCCUGUUGGUGACACCAUGCUGUGCACCAUUUCCAGUGUUGCCACAGCAAUUCGCUUUGUUAUAGACCCUGCCCUUCCUGUAUUCGUUCUUUUUAAAAGCUUUUUUCUUGUUAUUGUGACACCACUUGUUCCGUUUCCCAGCCUAUAAGUUCUGCAUAGAUUAAGGGCCGAGCUACUAUUGAUCGCCUGCACAGGCUAUGGAAUUUAGCUUGUCCAUAUUGUUUUGCACCUAACGACUUUAUUGAGACUCUUGGAAUUUCCUGUGUUUCCUGCCUCAAGGAUCUUCAUACUUUUCCAAGGUACGCUGUUGCUACUUUUUUGUUUAGGCCUUGCUUCUGUUUGCUUGGAACUAAUGAAUUUUAUUUCCUGCCUGGUAUCUUUUGUUCUCAGAGCACGUGUUAAGUUGGACAUUGCUGAUGGCACUGGUUCCAUUUGUGUUAUUGCCUUGGGUUACGAAGCUGAGAAACUGAUGGGCUUUACUGCAUACCAGCUGAGCCAAUCUGAAUAUGAGGUGCGCUUUAGUUUGGUUAUUCGUGAGUGCUUGUCCAUUUCACACUACAUAUGAUGCACAUUUUUUCCUAACCCUUUUUUGCCUGUUGCAGGGUGUUAGCUUGAACCUCCGGGUUGCUGAUACUCUUGAUGGAAAAGAAUUGUUAUGUUAUGUUAAGCGUUCUCCUGAAUUCAUAAGAGUAACUGGAAUCAGGUUUACAAUUGUUACGUCAUAUUUGGUUGGAGAAGCUUCGUCUGUUGAAGAGUAAAAUGUGCCUUUCCUGCUUUGGUUAGAGUUCUAGGUUCCUUUGUGCUCCUACCGGUAACUUUGUUUAUGAUUGCCUUUUAUGAUGUAAUGCCUUGUAUAUUUCGCAAGGACCAAUUCUUCCGUCAAACGAUCCUUUUGUAAUGCCAUAUUGAUUUCGCCUUUUAUUUACUCGUGCUUUAUAAAUGACUUCAAUCUCCCACAGAUAAUUGGUAAACACAAUCUAGAUUCUU
This 1090-nucleotide long non-coding RNA is filed under the name Coffea arabica (coffee). Its description in RNAcentral is "long non-coding RNA (CARA_LNC008247)". Lineage: Eukaryota; Viridiplantae; Streptophyta; Magnoliopsida; Gentianales; Rubiaceae. The record is from RNAcentral.